UUGUGGGUAAGGCCACAAGCAAACCAGUAGGGCUUGAAAGAAGGCCCCGAGAUGGGGAAUGAGACCCGGACCCAGCCCCUAUGGGGCGCAGCAGGCGAGAAACCUCUGCAAUGUGCGAAAGCACGACAAGGUUAAUCCGAGUGUCUCCUGCUAAAGGAGUCUUUUGUCAGUUGUAGAAUCACUGGUGAAUAAGGGGUGGGCAAGUUCUGGUGUCAGCCGCCGCGGUAAAACCAGCACCUCGAGUGGCCAGGAGGUUUAUUGGGCCUAAAGCAUCCGUAGCCGGUUGCAUAAGUUUUCGGUUAAAUCUAUGCGCUUAACGUAUAGGCCGCCGAAAAUACUGUGCAGCUAGGGAGUGGGAGAGGUACACGGUACUCGAUAGGAAGGGGUAAAAUCCUUUGAUCUAUUGAAGACCACCUGUGGCGAAGGCGGUGUACCAGAACACGUUCGACGGUGAGGGAUGAAAGUUGGGGGAGCAAACCGGAUUAGAUACCCGGGUAGUCCCAGCUGUAAACGAUGCAGACUCGGUGAUGCAUUGGCUUGUGGCCAAUGCAGUGCCGCAGGGAAGCCGUUAAGUCUGCCGCCUGGGAAGUACGUACGCAAGUAUGAAACUUAAAGGAAUUGGCGGGGGAGCACCACAAGGGGUGAAGCCUGCGUUCAAUUGGAUUCA
RNAcentral lists this ribosomal RNA (667 nucleotides) under uncultured archaeon. Its description in RNAcentral is "bacterial SSU rRNA". It matches the Rfam family "Archaeal small subunit ribosomal RNA", at positions 235 to 914 of the family's 1478-position model. The record is from RNAcentral.